AUCAUUAAGCGGAGGAAAAGAAACUAACAAGGAUUCCCCUAGUAACGGCGAGUGAAGCGGGAAGAGCCCAGCACCAAAUCCCCCGUCGUUGCGGCGCGGGGAACUGUGGUGUUUAGGACGACUAUUGGCGCGUCGUGCCUUCGUCCGAGUCCUCCUGAUCGGGGCCUUUCCCAUAGCGGGUGUCAGGCCUCUAGUCUAGGCGAGGGUCGGCGUGCCUCUAAACGUCCUUAGAGUCGGGUUGUUUGGGAAUGCAGCCCAAAGUGGGUGGUAAACUCCAUCUAAGGCUAAAUACUGACACGAGACCGAUAGCGGACAAGUACCGUGAGGGAAAGUU
Molecule: ribosomal RNA, 334 nt
Filed under: Bathypolaria kondrashovi
Lineage: Eukaryota; Metazoa; Annelida; Polychaeta; Phyllodocida; Polynoidae
Also listed under: 1 other name
Description: partial large subunit ribosomal RNA
Rfam family: Eukaryotic large subunit ribosomal RNA
Source: RNAcentral